UUUAACUCCUACGGUGGCCAAUGUAGUCCAAGAUUAACAUGGCUUCCAGUUCGACCUCGUCCAUGAGUGUUCCUUCAAGUGAUGACGCGAAGCUUGAAUUAACGGGUAUGUCCCUCUUUGGCUAAUGUACUUUCAAGAUGGAGGGGCAACAUGGCGACCGACAUUAGAACCCCUCACCCGUAUGUAUUUUCAAUGGCAUAUUAUACACUCACGAGAAUACUUUAUUACUUGAACGAAGUAAAUAUACAUUAAUGAGCACAUAUAUUUUUGAAAGAACUAAG
Long non-coding RNA from Rhinichthys klamathensis goyatoka, 281 nucleotides. RefSeq lists it as uncharacterized. The transcript has 2 exons. NCBI's taxonomy places the organism in Eukaryota, Metazoa, Chordata, Actinopteri, Cypriniformes, Leuciscidae. The record is from RefSeq and is a predicted model, not a curated record.